GAGUUUGAUCCUGGCUCAGAGUGAACGCUGGCGGCAGGCCUAAUACAUGCAAGUCGAACGGCAGCACAGCAGAGCUUGCUCUGUGGUGGCGAGUGGCGGACGGGUGAGGAAUACGUGGGAAUCUGCCCAGUCGUGGGGGAUAACGUAGGGAAACUUACGCUAAUACCGCAUGCGCCCUUCGGGGGAAAGCCGGGGACCUUCGGGCCUGGCGCGAUUGGAUGAGCCCACGUCGGAUUAGCUAGUUGGCGGGUAAAGGCCCACCAAGGCGACGAUCCGUAGCUGGUCUGAGAGGAUGAUCAGCCACACUGGAACUGAGACACGGUCCAGACUCCUACGGGAGGCAGCAGUAGGGAAUAUUGGACAAUGGGCGCAAGCCUGAUCCAGCCAUGCCGCGUGAGUGAAGAAGGCCCUCGGGUUGUAAAGCUCUUUUGUCCGGAAAGAAAAGCGCCGGGUUAAUACCCUGGUGUCCUGACGGUACCGGAAGAAUAAGCACCGGCUAACUUCGUG
Molecule: ribosomal RNA, 507 nt
Filed under: uncultured bacterium
Lineage: Bacteria
Description: bacterial SSU rRNA
Rfam family: Bacterial small subunit ribosomal RNA
Source: RNAcentral